Molecule: ribosomal RNA, 253 nt
Filed under: uncultured bacterium
Lineage: Bacteria
Description: partial 16S ribosomal RNA
Rfam family: Bacterial small subunit ribosomal RNA
Source: RNAcentral
CACGUAGGGCGCAAGCGUUGUCCGGAAUCAUUGGGCGUAAAGAGCGUGUAGGCGGCCAGAAAAGUCCGCUGUGAAAACUCGAGGCUCAACUUCGAGCUGUCGGUGGAAACUUUCUGGCUAGAGUCCGGAAGAGGAGAAUGGAAUUCCUGGUGUAGCGGUGAAAUGCGCAGAUAUCAGGAAGAACACCCGUGGCGAAGGCGGUUCUCUGGGACGGUACUGACGCUGAGACGCGAAAGCGUGGGGAGCGAACAGG